AGACUCCGGAGAGCGAUCUCCUCUGAGCCCACCGGCGUCAUAAACCUGAGUUCUCCAACUCUCCAAGUGCUCGCUUGGUUUCUCGCCGGGUCAAAGAGCUGAUCCACUGCAGCCACAGAGCUGCUGGAGCUGGGACACGACAGCCACAGGGCUGUCGCCAGAACUGAUAGGCUGCAGCCCAGGGCUUCUGGGCAGCUGCCAUAACACUGCCACGAGCAGAGGAAAGAGAAGUUGGGCCACGAGCAGGAAAAAGUGCAACUACAGACGGCGGAGACGGUAGCGUUGCACUCGACGGAAUCGCAACCAAACAGUGGCUACACCUUUUUGGAAUCCUGGCAGGUGUGUGAAACUGGCAUGGAAGAAGACCAACCGGGACACGCGCCUUCCGACGAAUGAACUGGGAGCCUGGGGUCUGUACAAUGCUCCAUUUUAUAAGCCAGGCUUCCCCUGACAGGUGAAAACUACAAAAAUUAGAACAGGGCCCACACACCCCAUUCCAGGUCUUACUUGACAUGGCCUUUAAGGUCUCAGGGAAGAGGCUUGUAAGUAUUGAGGGAAAUUUUUUCCGACCCUAAAGGAACAAAGUCAUCCUCUAGGAACUAGCCCGUGCCUUUGAGAUGCAAAUGUCUUACCUGACCUUCUGAAAUCCUUCUCUCACCAUCUUUUUGAAAUACAAAUUUCAGGAAAAGGGUCUAAGUUGGAAGUUGAAUUCUCAGGGACAAAGAAGUCCUAUGUCUUGUUCAUAAGCAUUAUUAAAAGGGGGGGUUAGCCAUCUAGACAGGUGACAAUGAUUUAUUCCAUCUGCCAGAAACCCAGUUUGAACCCAGUGUCUCUUGUAACUGACAGGUUUUAUACAGAUGUACCUUAUUCAUGGCUGAAACUUCGAAAUGGGAAAUAUGAGGUCUCUGUUUUGCUUGUUUGUACAUGUCUUUGUGUGUGUUAUGUAUGUAUGGCAUUGCCAAAAUUAAUUCUUAAAAGAGCUCAACUUAAUUGGCUUAAAGGAAAUUAAGCACUUACAUAAAUUCUCAAAAUACAUAAGGUAAAUUUUUGGUUCAUGUGAACUGGAAAAUACUCAGUAUUUGAUAUUCAUUUUUAGAUGUUAAUAUUGAAAUUAAAAUUUGUUUUUUUACUUUUAUUUUUUUGUUUUAGGGCCACACCCGAGGCAUAUGGAAUUUCCCUGGUGUGGGGUCUAAAUCCGCUGUGGCUGCUGGCCUAAACCACAGCCACAGUAACAUGGGAUCUGAGCCUGCAACCUACACCACGGCUCACAGCAGUGCUGGAUCCUUAACCCACUGAGUAAGGCCAGGGAUCGAACCUGCAUCCUCAUGGAUCCUAGUCGGGUUCAUUAACUGCUGAGCCACGAAGGGAACUCCAAGAUUAAAUUUUGUUGAUCUAAUUAAUAUAGACAUGUCUUUAGAGUCAUCGACAUAAGUAUAAUACCUAUUGUACCUAAGUUUGAUAAAAGUCAAAUGAGAUACUGAGACUUCAGUUACAAAACAGAGAAACUGAAGUCAUUUAAGACUAUUAAUCGGUAUGUUCAGUGCCAUCCUGAGAUGUUCAACAAGAAAGCGCAUGCCUUUAGAAACGAUAAAAGACAGUCCAUGGUUGCUUCAGAAUGUAGGAAAAGUGCCGGAGGCCAGCUCCAGCAACCAGGUCUGGCAGCCAGGGUGUAUACAUCCCGAUGGGAGAUGAGAUGGGAGAUGAACGGCGUUGGCUUUUGCAACGGAGACAGCCUCUUUGUCCCUUCUCUCAGGGCGCUGGACUGCUCAAAUUUUAUUAGCGUAAGUGGUUGAUUAUAUAGGCAGUUUUUUUAUUACAGAUUACAUCAUAGUGUUAAAAGUACAUUGGUUAACUAUUAGGCUUUGUUUUUUGAUCACAUGGUACAGUAGCAAUACAUCAUGUUUUAAAAUCUUCAGUUUAACUAAAUUUAGUGAGUACAAUUCAAGGACAAACAGGCACAGGAUAUCAUAUGGGAAAGAGGAGACCCAGUACAAACCAUCUCAUGGCCAGCCAGUUCCCACAAGCUGAAGAAAUUACAGACACAAAAAACUCAUCUUCAGACUAGUGUCUAUCUUUAAAGUGUCCUUGGCAGGGAAACAGUAUGAGAAAAUACAAAUCAACUUAGCUGCUACCGCUAAAAUUUUCUAAAGUCAAGGACAAAACUCACAGCUGGGUUUCUUUUGAUGAAGAAUAAUAUAUGUCUAACUUCUAUAGACCUCAUUAAAAUCCUAACUUUAAAGUUUACUGUAUAACUAGUUAGUAGAUAAACACGAUGUUUUAAUUAAGUUGGAUUUAAAUAGGGGAAAGUCCUUCAGGAUGAAAUUCUUAUAUUAUUUUUGUAAUUUUGUUGAAGCACAAACCAAAUCACCACAGGAAAAUAAGAAUGGUAAAUAAGAAUAAUAAGCAAAUAAUCAGGAAAGACUGAGGAAAAACUGAAUAACAAAACAACAGGAAAGACUAGGUCACCGAGAAACAAUGCAUGUUCCCCGGUGCAAACAUGGAAAUUGUUUCCCAGGAAAGCCCCAAUUCUUCCCCAUCAACAUCAAAAUGAGAGCCCUGUAACCUGAGGCCUGCCCUCGGCUUGUACUGUUCAGGCAGGCUUCUAUCCUGACCAGAAGCCCACCUUCGGCAUGUACCCUUCAGGUGAGCUCCCUUCCUUGGUUAGGAACCUGCCUUCAGGUUUUUCUGCCGACAGGCAAGGUCCUUUUUUCUGAUUAGGAACCUGCCCUCGGUUUUGCAAGUACAGGCAAGCUCCCUUCCUUGGCUUCUUGUAUCUUCUCGGCUCCCCACAGAAAAAAGUAAGCUAGUUGCAAAACUUGAAUUUGAAUUCGGUCUCUCUGUUAAAACAAGAUUUUUUUGAAAUGCUGCUUUUGAUAACAGAUUAUAUGAAUUUCUUUGCCUUGAAUUUGUAUUUGCUUUUGAAAUCCUUUGUUACGUUGGUUGAAUGAAUAAGUAAUGUGAAACAAUAAUCUAUGAUUCUAUCUGACCAGGUAUUUUUAAACUUUUCCUUGUGUGUUUUUCUUUUCUUUCUUUCUUUCUUUUUUUUUUUUUUUUACAAACUAAGUGUAAAUUACAGGGGA
RNAcentral lists this long non-coding RNA (3080 nucleotides) under Sus scrofa (pig). RNAcentral's name for it is "lncRNA (ENSSSCG00065064164.1)". Lineage: Eukaryota; Metazoa; Chordata; Mammalia; Artiodactyla; Suidae. The record is from RNAcentral.